This 486-nucleotide ribosomal RNA is filed under the name uncultured bacterium. RNAcentral's name for it is "bacterial SSU rRNA". It matches the Rfam family "Bacterial small subunit ribosomal RNA", at positions 31 to 507 of the family's 1533-position model. The record is from RNAcentral.
GAACGCUAGCGGCAGGCUUAAUACAUGCGAAGUCGUGGGGCAGCAGGUUUGUAGCAAUACAGAUGCUGGCGACCGGCAAACGGGUGCGGAACACGUACAGAACCUUCCUUUGAGCGGGGAAUAGCCCAGAGAAAUUUGGAUUAAUACCCCAUAGUAUAAUGAAGUGGCAUCACUUUAUUAUUAAAGAUUUAUCACUCGAAGAUGGCUGUGCGGCUGAUUAGGUAGUUGGCGGGGUAAAGGCCCACCAAGCCUGCGAUCAGUAACUGGUGUGAGAGCACGACCAGUCACACGGGCACUGAGACACGGGCCCGACUCCUACGGGAGGCAGCAGUAAGGAAUAUUGGUCAAUGGAGGCAACUCUGAACCAGCCAUGCCGCGUGGAGGAUGAAGGUCCUCUGGAUUGUAAACUUCUUUUAUAUGGGACGAAAAAAGGCUUUUCUAAGUCGUCUGACGGUACCAUAUGAAUAAGCACCGGCUAACUCCGUG